UACGAAGGGGGCUAGCGUUGUUCGGAAUUACUGGGCGUAAAGCGCGCGCAGGCGGCUCUUCAAGUCAGGGGUGAAAGCCCAGAGCUCAACUCUGGAAUUGCCUUUGAGACUGUAGAGCUUGAGUACGGGAGAGGUGAGUGGAAUUCCCAGUGUAGAGGUGAAAUUCGUAGAUAUUGGGAAGAACACCGGUGGCGAAGGCGGCUCACUGGCCCGUUUCUGACGCUCAGGCGCGACAGCGUGGGGAUCAAACAGG
This 253-nucleotide ribosomal RNA is filed under the name uncultured bacterium. RNAcentral describes it as "partial 16S ribosomal RNA". It matches the Rfam family "Bacterial small subunit ribosomal RNA", at positions 524 to 776 of the family's 1533-position model. The record is from RNAcentral.